RNAcentral lists this RNase P RNA (384 nucleotides) under Rhizorhabdus sp. RNAcentral describes it as "RNase P RNA component class A". It matches the Rfam family "Bacterial RNase P class A". Rfam says of the family: Ribonuclease P (RNase P) is a ubiquitous endoribonuclease, found in archaea, bacteria and eukarya as well as chloroplasts and mitochondria. Its best characterised activity is the generation of mature 5'-ends of tRNAs by cleaving the 5'-leader elements of precursor-tRNAs. Lineage: Bacteria; Pseudomonadati; Pseudomonadota; Alphaproteobacteria; Sphingomonadales; Rhizorhabdaceae. The record is from RNAcentral.
CCAGAGGGCCGGGCGGUCGCCGCGCAGCAAUGCGGGGAGGAAAGUCCGGGCUCCAAGGAGUAACGGUGCCGGGUAACGCCCGGCGGGGGCGACCCUAGGGACAGUGCCACAGAAAGCAGACCGCCCGGCGGACCCUUCGGGGUUUCGGGCAAGGUAGAAAGGGUGUGGUAAGAGCGCACCGCGGUCCCGGUAACGGGAACGGCAUGGUAAACCCCACCGGGAGCAAGAUCGAAUAGGGACGGCAUAUGGGCUACUCCGCCCGGUCGUCCGGGUUGAUUGCUGGAGGCCGGUCGCAAGCCCGGUCCUAGAGGAAUGAUCGCCCAUCCGGCGCCGGAUUCGUUCCGGCUCGGUGGACAGAACCCGGCUUACAGGCCCUCUGGUAUU